UUUGAUGGAUUUAACACAUAGUGCUCGUGACCGAUUGUUCCUAGAGCAAAUGGCAAAGAGCUUGAUGGUUGGUAUCCGAAACCUAAGUUCGCAUCCUAAUAGAUUCACAUUUUAAGCUAAGUGUAUUUCUAAAUAAAAUAAACGAAACGGGUAGCGUAUUACUUAUCUCUCUCAAAAAAAGAAGAAGAAGAAGAAGACAUAUAGUGCUGGUGCACCUUAGUUUGUAUUCUAACUCAUUCAGAAUAAAAUAAUAAAUAAACAUAAAAGAUAAUAAAAUU
This 278-nucleotide long non-coding RNA is filed under the name Ananas comosus (pineapple). RNAcentral describes it as "long non-coding RNA (ACOM_LNC025067)". Lineage: Eukaryota; Viridiplantae; Streptophyta; Magnoliopsida; Poales; Bromeliaceae. The record is from RNAcentral.